Molecule: ribosomal RNA, 433 nt
Filed under: uncultured bacterium
Lineage: Bacteria
Description: partial 16S ribosomal RNA
Rfam family: Bacterial small subunit ribosomal RNA
Source: RNAcentral
AACGAACGCUGGCGGCAUGCCUAACACAUGCAAGUCGAGCGAGACCUUCGGGUCUAGUGGCGCACGGGUGCGUAACGCGUGGGAACCUGCCCUUAGGUUCGGAAUAACUCCCCGAAAGGGGUGCUAAUACCGGAUAAUGACUUCGGACCAAAGAUUUAUCGCCUUUGGAUGGGCCCGCGUUGGAUUAGCUAGUUGGUAGGGUAAAAGCCUACCAAGGCGACGAUCCAUAGCUGGUCUGAGAGGAUGAUCAGCCACACUGGGACUGAGACACGGCCCAGACUCCUACGGGAGGCAGCAGUGGGGAAUAUUGGACAAUGGGCGAAAGCCUGAUCCAGCAAUGCCGCGUGAGUGAUGAAGGCCUUAGGGUUGUAAAGCUCUUUUACCCGGGAUGAUAAUGACAGUACCGGGAGAAUAAGCUCCGGCUAACUCCGUG